CCAUGCUUAGUCCAAAUUUCUGGAUUGGACAACUAGGGAUUUAAGGACGGGCUAGAAUGUAUCCAGAGCUAACUAGACCUCCUCCACCAUCACAUCACCUCCGGUGACCAAAGGGACAGUUCAUUUACACGGAUGCUUAUCACGUGCCAGGCACUGGGUAAGACCUUAGAGGCUUGACAGCAUAUCCUCAUCGCCCGGCUUCAUGAGGCGGGCUUUAUGAUCCCAUUUUACGGAGGCUCUGAGGCUGUGUGGUUAUUUUAGGGAACAAGGAUUUGUUGAGGGGAGCGGGCACUGGCUAAGUGCUGGGGAAUGAUGUAAAUACACUCCUUCCUUAAGGAAGUGUCCGUUGGCCCAAGAGGUCUCUGUUGGCCCGAUUCGAAAGCUUGCCAUGAACCCUGCACACAGUUCCUCGGAGAUCGGGACACGCCUGGGGACCUUCUUCAAUCUCCCGUCCGCUCAGCAUGGACACUGCGGAGGGAGAAGAUGAGCUGAGUUCGUCUUUCCAAUGGUCCACCACCGCGGAGUGUGAGCUCACUCGGGCGCGAGUCUCAGCCCAUCCGUCUUCUGCUGGGCACAGAAUGUACUGUGGAAUGCGGGCCAACAAUCGCGUUCGCUGCGCGCAGUGAAGAUACGUGGAGCCCCGUGUGCUGUGACCGGCUACAGAGGAAGUCUUAUAGCCCUCUACAUGCAGUGAGCUUAAUUCUUCUUCUCUCUCCAUUUUCGCACGCCUCCACACUUCCUGCUCCGUCCUGGGCCUGCCAGUGCUGAAAACCUGAGACGAAAUGUCCUUCCGGUUUUUAGAGGCCGAAACCAGGAAGGACGGGGAAAUGGGAAGGCCAGCUCUCUCUGUCUGGGACACCAGGGCCGGGGCCGGAGACCCUGGACCACAUUUCCACACCUCCCUUGGGAGGGCUGGGCUCAGCGAGAUCAGUCAAGGACUCGCUCUUAGCUGCGGCUUCCUCAUUCAAGGGCAAGUUGAUUACCAUCCUUCUGGCUUCCUUUUCCAUUUGUAACCGAAAGGAGAGGUCUUUAGUGGGAGAUGAUGCUGAUAGUUAUUUCCUGAUUAGAUAGCUGUUUAUUCAUUCAAACGUAUUGAUGGAUCACCUAUUGCCUCCUCUAAAAGGAGCCCUCAUGGGAGCUUACGUUCCAACGGAGAAAACCGAGCAAACAGAACAGAUAAAAUUUGUGUCGUGUUAGAAGGCCCGAUUACCUCGGAGGAGCCCAGAAGAGGGUGUGAGGGGCGCUGGGUUGGGGGUGCUGCAGUUGUAAGUUGGGUUCUCAGGGAAGGUUCAAAAGGAAGGUAAUAUUUGCGGUGAAGACCUGAAGGGGUUAUGGGAGAAAUCCAUGUCGAUACUAACGAUGAGGAUUUUAGGCAAACAGCAGGUGCAAAUGCCCAAGGCUGGAAGCUGCCUGUUGUGCCCCCGCAACAGCAAGGCGGCCGGAGUGACUGGAGCAAAGUCAGCGGCGGGGAGAGUAGAGGGUGACACGGUCAGAGAGGAAAUGGGGCCAGAUAGUGUCACGAGGGCCUUGAGAACAGGGGAAGUCUGUAGGCUCCCUGUGAGUAAGAAGGGGAGCUUCUGGAAGGUGCUGAGCAGAAAAGGGACAUGGUGUGGUAAAGUUAUGCAUUCUGCUCUGGCAGAAACACCGACACUUCCUACCCACUGGCCUGCGCGCGAGAAGCAAGGGGUGAUCGAUCUGACACCUGAGUGAGCCCCCUGACCUUCCGUGACAAGGCAUCACCCCCAUUUCCGUGGAGGCCAACGAGAGUCAGAGAGUCGCAGUAACUUUCUCAGGCCGUGAGCCACGCAGCUAGGGCGUGGAUGAGCUGGAAAAAAAGAGUGGCUCUCCACUUCUAAGGAUUCGUGAGGCUGGGUUGGGCCCACCCGAAUGAUCCAGGAUCAUCUUCCCUUCUCAAGGGGCCCCGAGAAGCCUCAAGAGAAGAAGAGAGAAGAAAAGACCCGGGGGAAGUGAACGGAACAGAAGACCAAGGGGAUGAUCCUUAUUUUGGAAGGGAAACCGGGUGACUCGGUAUCUGUGGAUGUAUACAGGCAGGUGUAAGCCGAGCGAAAACUCAAGACGAAAUGUACCAAACGGCCAUGGUCCAUUCUAUGUCCCAGAGAGUCUGUCUGCAAAGCCAUCACGUUGACCCCUCCAACCCACACUUCGGUCACACUUCUCCGAGGCCAUCACAGUAACCGGGGAUGGGGUGGCAGGAACCUGUGCCCGUGGCCCAUUUCCAGGCUCCGUCUCUUCCAGCGCAGACCCGGCGCCCCCCCCCCAACCCCUCCGCCCCCCGUUCCCGCCCCAUGAAGCAGAAUAUCUCUAGUCUGCUCUUCAAGGCUGCUUGUACCCUAGCCUCGUCUGAUGCUCUGCCAGACUUCCAUUCGACUUCUCGGCCACACAGAAGGGACUUUCUACCCUCACACCACUUCCUGGUCCCUCUGCCAUUGCUCAAGUGUUUGUCCUUCUCUGGAAUGUCUCUCCCGUGUCCCCCUCCCCCGUCCCUUCCUCUCUGUCAUUGAAAUUCUGCCGUGUCUCUCUGGCUUUUCUGAAACGGCGUCUCAAAUCUCCAUGAAGUCUUUCUUGACCCCUCCACCCCCCCCACCCCCAAGCUGGCCUGACUUAUCCAUCCUUUGAGCACCUGCUAUGGGGACUUUGUCCCUCUUCUUUGGGGCUUAUCCCAUUUUACAGUUAUUUUCUGUGCUCGUCUUUUCUCUUCCCCCCUCAGUUAUCCUCUCUUCAGAUCAGGCACUAGGUCUCACCCUUUGCCAGGCUCCCCACGGCAUCACAUGCAAAGCGAUGUGCCGUCGGAGCAGUGUGAGUUAGAAGACAGGUGCCUGGGGGCUCCUGGGAGGCUCCGUCGGUUAAGUGUCUGACUUAGGCUCAGGUUAUCAUUUCACGGUUUGCGGGUUCAAGCCCUGUGUUGGGCUCUGUGCUGGCAGCUCAGAGCCUGGAGCCUGCUUUGGAUUCUAUGUCUCCUCUCUUGCCCUUCCCCCGCGUGUGUUUUCUCUCUCUCUCUCUCUCUCUCUCUCUCUGUCUGUCCCUCAAAAAUAAAUAAGUAAACAUUAAAAAAAAGAGACGGGUGCCUAAUUUGUCAUGGUUUGGGUGCACGAGGGAGGAAACACCACUGAGGGGUGAUUAGAACCUCUUCUCUCUCUACGGACCACACGCAUUUUCAUUUCCACUCGCAUUAUCUCAGGCUUGAAAAUGUCACUUCUCUGAAUCAGCCUUUGCCACAGUUCCACCUCUCCUGUUACUUGCUUACUUCUGAAAAAAACCUGACUCCCUAUUUUUACCUAGCCUGCCGUAAGCCGCAAAACUCCGUGAAAAUACUGGGUUUCAGGUGAUAGCCACACAUCGAAUCAUUACAACACGACGCGAGACGUCUUCGCCAUAUACUGCUACAAGGUCUGACUUUGGGACGUGGCACCCGAUACCCAGGUGGGGCUAAAGUGCAUGACCAAGGUCGCUGAGCGCUCCGCCCUUUCCCACCAGGCCGCACCGCCUCCGUGCACAGGACCGGGAGAUAAGACACGCAGGGUCCGCAGGGGGUCUGCUCGGUCAUGGCCGGAAGCAAACGUGUCUUGCUCAACACCGUGGGGGAGGCACGCUGCAUUGUUUGUGGACUCGGUGUGGGGCCCGAGCGCACAAUGGGCGGUGCACCCAUGUCUGUUAAGAGCGCUGGUUCGCUCUCGAAUCCCCUCCUGUUCCCUCAGACAUUAUUUCCGGGGGGGAUGUCGGUCUCCCAUCAUCUGUGGCUGCAGCAGGCGGCCCGAGGGUGCUUUGGCCUCGCACCUGCCCCGGCUGCAAGCACCUCCCGGGACACAGGGCGCGAGAAAUGCUUCGUCAUUUGACCCGGGCCUUUUGGGGCUCCCUCCCGCCAGUCCCGGGAGCUCCUGAGGGCCCCUCGAGUAUCUUCCAGAAGAAGACAGCUGGUCUGAAGUGAUAGCUCAAGCAGGAAAUGGGGCCACGGCAGUGACGCCCUAGGGCCAAGGAGCAGCUCGAAAUGGCCUCCUUUCUCUCAACCCCUGCCUUUUCCUCAGAAGGAAAGAGAACGCUAAGACCACGGGGUAACCACGUUCACCACUGGGGACCAGGUCCCUUAAGUACUGUUUUGUCACCGCGAUGAAAGGGAACACUUACUUGUAAGCUGGGGGUAGAUUGUAACAGAAUUUCUUCAGUCUCUCUCUCUUUUUUUGUGUGUUUUUUGUUUCUUAACGUUUACUUUUGAGAGAGAGAGAGAGACAGAGACAGAGCGUGAGCAGGGGAGGGGCAGAGAGAGAGGGAGACACGGAAUCUGGCUCUGAGCUGUCAACACAGAGCCCGACGCGGGGCUCGAACUCACGAACUGCGAGAUCAUGACCCGAGCUUAAGUCAGACGCUUAACUGACUGAGCCGCCCAGGGGCCCCUUCAGCCCCUCUUUGAAGAGUGUGUUCUUUGGGAAUUGCCAGGCCGCCUGGCAUAAGAGGUGAGGGCCAGCCACACGCUUUUUUCUUGCCACUUUGAGCACCAGAGCAGAAAGGAGAUGGGGGGGAGGACACAACAGGGCGGCCACAGGCUCUAACAGGGGCAACGUGCUGGGGUUCGAGUCCCAGCCCGGCCGAUGCUAGCUCUUGGGAUCCGGGGUGGUUUACUUAGCCUUCCUACGUGUCUUUCUCAGCAUCGCUUCCCACAUGCAUAUACCGGAGGGCAAACCUCUUGGCACGGUGGAAGGCACACAACGAGCACUCAGAAAUUCUGGUGCCUUCCUUCUCUCUACCAAUGUCCCUGCCUCAUCCGUGACCGAGUUAUUCGGGCACCUUUCUUUCCGACCACGUUGAUGAGGUCUUCCCGUGCUGUGAGCUUUGGAGACACAACAGACACCUAUGAAGUGACUUGAAAACCUUUAUGAAGCUGUGGGUCUGAACGGACUGCUCAAUAGUGCUUUAAUUCUGUCACGAUGUUUCAGAAGGGGAUUCUGAGCCCUGGAUGGGUCCCUGAGUCUACAGCUCUUCAGCGUGCCUUUUGGCUUGGAGAUUCUAUAACUUGGCAGCCCUCGAUGUCACAUCAUAGACAGGGUAUGCAUAUAAUUUAUUGUGCAAACCAGGAAACAUUUGAUCGGGUGAAAGAGGCUGCUAUUAAAAAUGACAACUGGGAGCAGGUGUCAGUCAGGACUGUUUCAGGCAGGUGGGGUACAUCUUUACGCUACUCAGGGUACACAUUUUGGCCCCAAGCUCUGUGUGAGUUAUAAACCUUUGUGCUUACCUGGUUUCUAUGCACCCUGAAUCAUACCAGCUUCCCCACCCCUCCCUCCAGCCAACAACACUGCUAUGUAGGCAAGGAUCUUCUGGAAGGAAGUUUGAGACCCAUGGCACGACACGCAUGCAAAUACCAUGUCAGAUCUGUCUAAAGAGACAAAUGGAAGCCAGAGGGUGAGCCGAUGCAGAAUCCAGAAAAUUCUUCGGCACCCCCACUGCCCGCCCCCACGUGCCCGCCUGGGCAGGCAGGCGACCAGCUGUGGAGGGAAGGAACAGGCUGGGGAAAGGCCAGCCAGAUGCGGCUUGCAGAAAACCCGGACCAGAUUCCGUGCUCUCAGUGACUGGCUCUGAUGUGCCAGACCCACGAAGAGAACCGUCAGUGCCCUCCCUGGGAAACUGAGGACAGCAUACCUUUGCAUCCAUUGUCUGGGGUCGUUGAGGAUAAAAUGAUGUGAUGGACGCGGACAUAACUUACAAACUGCAAAUGCCAGGUGGCACCUUAAUCGGAGAACUUCAAUGCAAACCCCUGAAUUUGCAGAUGAAAAUCUGGGGUCCAGAGAGGUCAACAGGCUGGCCCAGCAUGGACAACUCCCUUUAUGGAGAUGCCGAUGACGUGUGUGUGAUGGGGGAGCGGUUGGCUGAGGAGGUUAAGUCUAAGAGGAGGAGAAGACCAGGGACAAACCAAGGAGGCAAAAACAUUUUCAAGGACCUUAAUGUAAAUGUGUGCUUGGUGAGAUGAGAAAAAUGAUUCUGUGGUUAUUUUUUAAGGGAGUGGGAUCCUCACAUCUUUUAUUCCUUGUCGUCAUGGACACUGACCAUCCGAGGCUUCGAGGCUGGAGCCAUUCUCCCUCUCUCUAUCUUUUUUAAUGUUUGUUUAUUUUGAGAGAGAUAGAGAGGCAGAUGGAGAGAGAGAGACAGGGAGAGAGAGAAUCCCAAGCAGGCUCUACACUCAGCUCAGAGCCCGAUGCAGGGCUCAAUCUCAUGACCGUGAGAUCACAACCUGAGCUGAAAUCAAGAGUCAGACAGUCCACUGAGACACCCAGGCGCCCGGCCACUUUCUUCAUAAAGAUGCUCCUUUGGCCUGACUGUCCGACUUGGACACUAACACGGGUGGUGGGGGCCUGGCCAGGCUGGAAAAGGGUAUGCAGACCAGAGAGGAUCUACCUUGAGUAGGAGAAGGUGGAGGCACCUUAACCGAGCAAUGGAGAGCACGGACUCUGGAGACAGGCUGCCUGGAGAAGAAUCCCAGUUUUGCUGCUCACAGCUGUGUCACCUUGGGCAAGUUGCCUAAGCUUUCUGUGCCUUCGUUUUCUCAGCUGUAGAAUGAGAAUAUGAAAGUGCCCACAUCACAGAAUGGUGUGAGGUUUCAGCAGGUUAAUACAUUUAAGAGUCUUAGAAAGGUACCUGGCACACAUCCAGCUCUA
Molecule: long non-coding RNA, 6662 nt
Organism: Neofelis nebulosa (Clouded leopard)
Lineage: Eukaryota; Metazoa; Chordata; Mammalia; Carnivora; Felidae
Exons: 5
Source: RefSeq, a predicted model, not a curated record